Cinara cedri is the source of this 539-nucleotide non-coding RNA. Lineage: Eukaryota; Metazoa; Arthropoda; Insecta; Hemiptera; Aphididae. The record is from the annotation of a GenBank genome assembly.
UGCUGAACCAUUAUACAAUUUAAAUUCUGUCUUUAAAAAUAGAUUCUAUAAAGAAAAAAAAUUCUUAAGCAUGACUUGUGUUAAGGCGACUAACACAUUUUUGACGUGUUAAUAUUUGUACCUACACUUAAGAUUUAUUAUUAUUUUAUAAUAACAGUUGUCUAGGUGAUAGUAACUAUAAACACGUUGCUACAUUGGUAAUUUUAACACCAAAAAAGAGUGGUAAAAGGAAUUCAAUAACUCAAUAACUAUAAGUUGAAUAAAUAUUUAGUAUGGUAUGGAAGGUCAACCCUCUUUAAAUUGCAUUCUGUCAAAAAACCAUAUUAUAAAUAAUGAAUUUAGACAGAAAGUUGACACGAUAGAUUUAUAAUUCCCUAUAUGAUUAAAUUAUUAGCAACUAAAUGUAAAUUAUUUUAACUCGCAUGUUUAUAAAAUACAAUAUACUGUUUUAUUAUUUUCGGGUUUUGUUACCAAUAACCAUCCAUUUAAGAAUGCAAUAAUAAUAUAUGAAGUAAAAUAUUUAUAUGCAGUGUAUUAGU